RNAcentral lists this small RNA (1859 nucleotides) under Pongo abelii (Sumatran orangutan). Its description in RNAcentral is "processed transcript". Lineage: Eukaryota; Metazoa; Chordata; Mammalia; Primates; Hominidae. The record is from RNAcentral.
GAUGCUCGGACAUCUUUAGUACCAGAUUCCAGGGAUCCUCAGAAAGUGAAGGAGUUUCUCCAGGAAAAAUAUGAGAAGAAGAGAUGGUAUGUCCCCCCAGACCAAGUCAAGGGGCCCACUUAUACCAAAGGCAGUGCCUCCACCCCUGUGCAGGGCUCCAUCCCAGAAGGGAAGCCCCUUCGGACACUUCUGGGUGAUCCUGCACCGUCUCUCUCAGUUGCUGCCUCCACCUCGAGCCAGCCCGUCAGUCAGUCUCACGCUCGGACAUCCCAGGCCCGGAGCACUCAGCCACCUCCCCACUCCUCUGUCAAAAAAGCCAGUACUGACCUGCUGGCUGACAUCGGUGGAGACCCCUUUGCCGCACCCCAGAUGGCACCAGCUUUUGCUGCAUUCCCUGCCUUUGGGGGCCAGGCACCUUCCCACGGAGGCUUUGCCAACUUUGAUGCCUUUAGCAGUGGCCCCAGCUCUUCUGUGUUUGGAAGCCUCCCUCCAGCUGGUCAAGCCACGUUCCAGGCCCAGCCAACUCCUGCAGGGAGCAGCCAGGGGACUCCAUUUGGUGCCGCUCCCCUGGUACCCGCCAGUCAGCCAAACAGCCUCGCAGACGUGAGCAGCUUCCUGGGACCCGGGGUGCCUGCUGCAGGUGUUCCUAGCAGCCUCUUCGGGAUGGCUGGCCAGGUCCCCCCGCUCCAGUCUGUCACGACGGGCGGCAGCAGCAGCACAGGGCUGGCCUUUGGAGCCUUCACCAACCCUUUCGCAGCUCCCUCCGCCCAGCCCCCGCUGCCUUCCACCAACCCCCAGCCAGCUGGGAUCUCCACCAACCCCUUCAUGACUGGACCCUCAUCAAGCCCAUUCGCCUCCAAGCCUCCAACCACUAACCCCUUCUUGUAGCACUGUGUUUUUGGGGGGCCUCUUCCCUGCCUUCUGGGGCCCCUCUGCUCCCUAGAGCUCUGGUGACCACUUGCCUGUGGGCAUUUCUAUGGGCCUUGGGGAUGGUGGAGGUGCUAAUGCUUUGCUUGGGGCCUACAGGUGAAAGGUGGCUGCCCUCAGAUUCCACAAAGCCUCUGCUCCCCUCCCUCGUCCCACCCCCACCCAGGCAGGAAGCCCAGGAGGAGUGCGGGCAGGGCCUGACCUGGAGGAGUGAUGGUUGAGGGGGAGGGAUUUUUUUCAAAUGAUCAGUUCCCUGUGGAACAGCUCUUCCCUGGGCCUAGCUCGCCAGCGCUGUGCUCCUCGUGGACGGGAGCACAGUGGGGAAGGUAGGGGAAAGAUGAGGCACAGUGUUGACGGGGCAGUGACCAGACAGUCCUGAGACCCAGAAGGCCCAGGUGGCCCAAGUGCUCUUGGUGGCCCAGCUUGGCCAGCACACACUUCCCUCCUGUGGCAACCCCUGCUGAAGGGGUCCCCCAUUGUUUUGCUUCCCCAGCGCCCAGGAUGAGCGGUUUACCAUCAAGCUCACCCGGGUCCGGCUCCUGUCAAGCACUUUAGUUAGCCGUUGGUGUCAUGUUUGGAUACCAGUGUUUUAUAUUUAUACAUAGAGAGGAUUUUCUAAUAUAGCCUAUUAUAUAUAAAUAGAUCUAUCUAUAUGCACAUACAUACAUAUAUACACACACCCAGCCGAUCUCCCGCUCCCAGACUGCUCUUGUAUGUGGGGAAUGGGAUGAAUCCCCAUCUGUGCCUCGACCAUCAAAGCCGGAGCUCCAGGGCUGGAGGGGGGCAGCCAUGUGUCCUGACCCCCACCAUCCCCAGAGCCUGGGUUUUCCAGGGAAAGGCUUUGUGCAAUUGCCUGGUCUUUUUUUUUUUUUUUUUUUUCUCCAUGUGCCUCCCUGUCCCCAAAUCUCUGCACCAAAGCUCAUUGCAGGCAA